AAGGUCAUACUUUUAGGGAUCAUUUCUAUAGUGUGCAUCUUGAAAACGUCAUCAAAUUAUGACGAAUCCUCAACUACGAUGAUGAGUUGUAGGGAUUCCUUCUGAGCAUGAAGCUUGGUUCGUUAUAUCUUCGGAUGUUGCGAACUAUUGAGGAUUGUUCUUUGAUUUUCAUUUGAAGAUCUAAGAGGAAGGAUCUCUGGCUGAGUAGU
Non-coding RNA from Ciona savignyi (Pacific transparent sea squirt), 209 nucleotides. The record is from Rfam. Lineage: Eukaryota; Metazoa; Chordata; Ascidiacea; Phlebobranchia; Cionidae.